CAGCAGCCGCGGUAAUUCCAGCUCUAAUAGCGUAUAUUAAAGUUGUUGCAGUUAAAAAGCUCGUAGUUGGAUUUUGGUGUCGGACAGGCGGUCGGCUUUUGUCGUACUGCCCUUCUGACGCCUUCCUUCUGUGGACUGCGUCACUCUUAACUGAGGGGCGUGUGGACGCAGAUCGUUUACUGUGAGUAAAUUAGAGUGUUCAAAGCAGGCCUUACGCUUGAAUACAUUAGCAUGGAAUAAUAGAAUAGGACGUCGGGCCUAUUUUGUUGGUUUAGGGACCGUCGUAAUGAUUAAUAGGGACAGUUGGGGCCGUUCAUAUUCCGUAGUCAGAGGUGAAAUUCUUGGAUUUACGGAAGAUGAACUACUGCGAAAGCAUUCGGCAAGGAUGUUUUCGUUAAUCAAGAACGAAAGUUAGGGGAUCGAAGACGAUCAGAUACCGUCGUAGUCUUAACCAUAAACUAUGCCGACUCGGGAUCAGCAAGUGUCGUUCACGACCUCGCUGGCACCGUGUGAGAAAUCAAAGUCUUUGGGUUCCGGGGGGAGUAUGGUCGCAAGGCUGAAACUUAAAGGAAUUGACGGAAGGGCACCACCAGGAGUGGAGCCUGCGGCUUAAUUUGACUCAACACGGGGAAACUCACCAGGUCCAGACAUAGCGAGGAUUGACAGAUUGACAGCUCUUUCUUGAUUCUAUGGGUGGUGGUGCAUGGCCGUUCUUAGUUGGUGGAGUGAUUUGUCUGGUUAAUUCCGAUAACGAACGAGACCUCAGCCUACUAAAUAGUAACGCCUGCUUCGGCAGGUGGAUUACUUCUUAGAGGGACUUUUCGAGUCAUCGAAAGGAAGUUUGAGGCAAUAACAGGUCUGUGAUGCC
RNAcentral lists this ribosomal RNA (868 nucleotides) under uncultured eukaryote. RNAcentral describes it as "SSU rRNA". It matches the Rfam family "Eukaryotic small subunit ribosomal RNA", at positions 568 to 1471 of the family's 1831-position model. The record is from RNAcentral.